UGAAUACGAGAUGCUACGGCGUCGAAGCAGUCUAUGUCAUACUUCCAAGAAAAGCUUGCACUGUCAUAAACAAAUAAUGCCUGUACCAUAACCGACACAGGUGGGUAGGUAGAGUAUACUAAGGGGCGCGAGAUAACUCUCUCUAAGGAACUCGGCAAAAUGACUCCGUAACUUCGGGAGAAGGAGUGCCUUAUUUAUAAGGUUGCAAUAACAAGAUCCAAGCAACUGUUUACCAAAAGCACAGGUCUCCGCUAAGUCGUAAGACGAUGUAUGGGGGCUGACGCCUGCCCAGUGCCAGAAGGUUAAAGAAGUUGGUUAGCAUCCGCGAAGCUGAUAACUGAAGCCCUGGUGAACGGCGGCCGUAACAAUAACGGUCCUAAGGUAGCGAAAUUCCUUGUCGGGUAAGCUCCGACCCGCACGAAAGGCGUAAUGAUUUGGAUACUGUCUCGGAGAGGGGCUCGGUGAAAUAGACUUGUCUGUGAAGAUGCGGACUACCUGCACCAGGACAGAAAGACCCUAUGAAGCUUUACUGUACCUGAAAUUGAAAUUGGACUUUACUUGCGCAGUAUAGGUGGGAGGCGUUGAGAAUAUUCUUGCGGGAUUAUUGGAGCCAUCAGUGAGAUACCACUCUUGUAAUGUUAGAUUUCUAACUUUGUAUCAUUAUCUGGUCAAAGAACAGUUUCAGGCGGGCAGUUUGACUGGGGCGGUCGCCUCCUAAACGGUAACGGAGGCGCACAAAGGUUUCCUCUGAACGGGUAGAAAUCGUAUCUAGAGUGUAAAGGCAUAAGGAAGCUUGACUGUGAGACCUACAAGUCGAGCAGGGACGAAAGUCGGUCUUAGUGAUCUGACGGUGCUGAGUGGAAAGGCCGUCACUCAACGGAUAAAAGUUACUCUAAGGAUAACAGGCUGAUCUCCCCCAAGAGUUCACAUCGACGGGGAGGUUUGGCACCUCGAUGUCGGCUCAUCGCAUCCUGGGGCGGUAGUACGUCCCAAGGGUUGGGCUGUUCGCCCAUGAAAGCGGUACGCGAGCUGGGUUCAGAACGUCGUGAGACAGUUCGGUCCAUAUCCGGUGUAGGCGUUAGAAUAUUGAGAGGAGCCUUCUUUAGUACGAGAGGACCGAGAAGGACAUACCUCUGGUGUACCAGUUAUCGUGCCAACGGUAAACGCUGGGUAGCUAUGUGUGGAGUGGAUAACCGCUGAAAGCAUCUAAGUGGGAAGCCCACCUCAAGAUAAG
This 1234-nucleotide ribosomal RNA is filed under the name metagenome. RNAcentral describes it as "bacterial LSU rRNA". It matches the Rfam family "Bacterial large subunit ribosomal RNA", at positions 1564 to 2808 of the family's 2925-position model. The record is from RNAcentral.